This 133-nucleotide transfer-messenger RNA is filed under the name Methylotenera sp. RNAcentral describes it as "partial transfer-messenger RNA". It matches the Rfam family "transfer-messenger RNA", at positions 1 to 136 of the family's 374-position model. Rfam says of the family: Bacterial tmRNA, also known as 10Sa RNA or SsrA, is named for its dual tRNA and mRNA-like properties. The record is from RNAcentral. Lineage: Bacteria; Pseudomonadati; Pseudomonadota; Betaproteobacteria; Nitrosomonadales; Methylophilaceae.
GGGGCUGACCAGGUUUCGACGUGGGUUACAAAGCAGUGCAGGGCAUACCGAGGCUCAGAUUACCUCGUAAAUACAGCUGAAACAAGUAUAGUCGCAAACGACGAAACUUACUCUCUAGCAGCUUAGUUCUGCU